GAUGAACGCUAGCGGCAGGCUUAACACAUGCAAGUCGAGGGGCAGCGCGAUGUAGCAAUACAUUGGCGGCGACCGGCGCACGGGUGCGUAACACGUAUGCAACCUUCCCGCCACUGGGGGAUAGCCCGGAGAAAUCCGGAUCAAUACCCCAUAAUUCCCUGGGAGGCAUCUCCCGGGGCUGAAAACUCCGGUGGUGGCGGAUGGGCAUGCGCACGAUUAGCUAGNGGUGAGGUAACGGCUCACCAAGGCUACGAUCGUUAGGGGGCCUGAGAGGGUUAUCCCCCACACUGGUACUGAGACACGGACCAGACUCCUACGGGAGGCAGCAGUGAGGAAUAUUGCGCAAUGGAGGCAACUCUGACGCAGCCAUGCCGCGUGC
RNAcentral lists this ribosomal RNA (379 nucleotides) under uncultured bacterium. Its description in RNAcentral is "bacterial SSU rRNA". It matches the Rfam family "Bacterial small subunit ribosomal RNA", at positions 28 to 404 of the family's 1533-position model. The record is from RNAcentral.